Oncorhynchus keta (chum salmon) is the source of this 1378-nucleotide long non-coding RNA. RefSeq lists it as uncharacterized. Lineage: Eukaryota; Metazoa; Chordata; Actinopteri; Salmoniformes; Salmonidae. The transcript is spliced from 3 exons. The record is from RefSeq and is a predicted model, not a curated record.
UGAGUAGGUGUGUCCUAACUUUUGACUGGUACUGUAUGUUAAGGGGAUGGUUCACCCCAAUAGAAAGGUUCAUACCUCUCAAUACCAUCUUAUUAGAUGGAUCCAUUUCCCCCCAUUAGUUUGGGAUUCAGACCUGCAGUCAUCUUGAUUUCAGACCACUUUGGAGAAGUGUUCCACAGGCAGUAAAUCUAAUGUAGAAUAAAUGGAACCUGGAUCCAUUUCAUUCUAUUAACAUGGUUUAUGUGUUAUAACAGUAAUGGGGUUAAACUGAUAUUAAAAUGACAACUCCAUAGGUGGUACCAGGUCUGGGGAGUUCAUCUCUGCUCCCACCAUCCCUGGGACAGUACUGAUCAACAUAGCUGACCUGAUGCAGAGGUGGACCAGUGAUGUUUUCCUCUCAGUGGUGAGACUUGCCCUUCCAUUUGACACACCUUUACCUGAUGAGAUCAUACAAGACGUUACAGGCUGAUUGCAUGUGGAAACAGACCUGCGUUAAAAUAAUGUUGAAUACUUAAUAAGUGUUUGAUUGAGUUUGUUGUAAUGGAACCAAUAGAAAAGUCCUAAAAGUACAAACAAACCCCGCCCACCUGGAGGACAAAGGAAAUGCUCAAAGUGUUGGAAAGAUUUCAAAUAGUAUUUGAAUCCAGGGUGUUAUUCGUUAGAGAACACUGUAGCAAAACAUUUAGCAACAUAAUUAUUUUAGUUCAGUUAGUCCCUUCGUGUUUCAGUUCAUAUUCUUCAGUUUGGUGCCUCGUGGAUAUGAUUCAGGUCUCCGUGGAAACAUCAAUGUAAAUUCACCUUUGAUUUUUACUCCUCACUUUCCCUUUCAGGUCCAUAGGGUUUUACUGUCCCCUGCUGGAGACUGGAGCACACUGCAGUCCCUUUCAGGUCCAUAUGGUUUUACUGCCCCCUGCUGGAGACUGGAGCACACUGCAGUCCCUUUCAGGUCCAUAUGGUUUUACUGCCCCCUGCUGGAGACUGGAGCACACUGCAGUCCCUUUCAGGUCCAUAGGGUUUUCCUGCCCCCUGCUGGAGACUGGAGCACACUGCAGUCCCUUUCUUGUCCAUGGGGUUUUACUGCCCCCUGCUGGAGACUGUACCACACUGCAGUCCCUGGCUUUCUUUGUGCAGCCGGAUGAUGAGGCCCUCAUCAAUACAGAUACUGUAUGUAGAACCAUAGUAAAGCCCAGUAUGGACUAUCAAUACAGGUACUGUAUGUAGAACCAUAGUAAAGACCAGUAUGGACUAUCAAUAGCAAACAGACACUGUAUGUAGAACCAUAGUAAAGACCAGUAUGGACUAUCAAUACAGAUACUGUAUGUAGAACCAUAGUAAAGACCAGUAUGGACUAUCAAUACAGAUACUGUAUGUAGAACCA